AUUGAACGCUGGCGGCAUGCCUUACACAUGCAAGUCGAACGGUAACAGGUCUUCGGAUGCUGACGAGUGGCGAACGGGUGAGUAAUACAUCGGAACGUGCCUAGUAGUGGGGGAUAACUACUCGAAAGAGUGGCUAAUACCGCAUGAGAUCUACGGAUGAAAGCAGGGGAUCGCAAGACCUUGUGCUACUAGAGCGGCCGAUGGCAGAUUAGGUAGUUGGUGGGAUAAAAGCUUACCAAGCCGACGAUCUGUAGCUGGUCUGAGAGGACGAUCAGCCACACUGGGACUGAGACACGGCCCAGACUCCUACGGGAGGCAGCAGUGGGGAAUUUUGGACAAUGGGCGAAAGCCUGAUCCAGCAAUGCCGCGUGCAGGAUGAAGGCCUUCGGGUUGUAAACUGCUUUUGUACGGAACGAAAAGCCCCGGGUUAAUACCCUGGGGUCAUGACGGUACCCGGAGAAGAAGCCCCGGCUAACUUCGUGCCAGCAGCCGCCGUAA
RNAcentral lists this ribosomal RNA (498 nucleotides) under uncultured bacterium. Its description in RNAcentral is "partial 16S ribosomal RNA". It matches the Rfam family "Bacterial small subunit ribosomal RNA", at positions 30 to 523 of the family's 1533-position model. The record is from RNAcentral.